GCCUGGCUGGCUCAGUCAGUAGAGCAUGUGACUCUCGAUCUCAGGGUCGUGAGUUCAAGCCCCAUGUUGGGUG
Molecule: non-coding RNA, 73 nt
Organism: Ailuropoda melanoleuca (giant panda)
Lineage: Eukaryota; Metazoa; Chordata; Mammalia; Carnivora; Ursidae
Source: Rfam